Molecule: long non-coding RNA, 749 nt
Organism: Mobula hypostoma (lesser devil ray)
Lineage: Eukaryota; Metazoa; Chordata; Chondrichthyes; Myliobatiformes; Myliobatidae
Exons: 3
Source: RefSeq, a predicted model, not a curated record
UGCAAGCUGACGGUUCAACACUGUAUUGGAGAUGCUGUUUCUGCAUUGAAUAACAAGGUCCUGAAUAUAAUAGGUUCCAUGGCAAUAUUUACAGAAGAAACAUGGGGGAUUGCCUGGUAUUCUAGCUGAUACUUGUUCUUCAAACAACGUCUGAAAACAGUACAAACAAGAACUUGUGCCGUAGUCAAGAGAAGGAUACAAGAAUAAACAGAAGGGAACUAUUCAUUGAAGUUGCUAUUAUAUGUAAAACUGAAGAACACGCCGAGCAGGGAGAGGAAUCCCAAGAUGGGAAUUGACGUUAGAAGACUUCUUCAUUCAUUCAUUAACUGAAUUACUGUCAGCCCUGAUGUUAAUUGUUGUUAAUCUCUCAUAUUCUGGUCAGUAGUGAGACAACCUUUUUAAUCAGAAACCAUCUGAUGUGAGCAGCAUUCAGAUUGAUUCAUUCACUCAGAGGGUCAUGAGAGUGUGGAAUGAGCUGCCAUUGCCAAGUGGUGCCUGUGAGCACUCGAUUUACAUGUUUAAGAGAAGUUUGGUACCAUGGAUGGCAGGGGUACAGCAGGCUAUGGUCCUGGUGCAGGCCGAUGGGAGUAUGCAGGUUAAAUGGUUCGGCACAGGUUAGAUGGGCUGAAGGGCCUGUUUCUGUGACUCUAUGAUUUUAUCUAUGUGACCUGCAGCCACUGCAUGGAGUGCAAUGGCCCAAGGUAAGCAGUAAUUCCAGACCACCGACUUCACUGAGCAAUGUCAUGUGA